Molecule: long non-coding RNA, 1653 nt
Organism: Callithrix jacchus (white-tufted-ear marmoset)
Lineage: Eukaryota; Metazoa; Chordata; Mammalia; Primates; Cebidae
Source: Ensembl
CUUAUAUUUAACAGAUUUAUUUUAUUGUAACUGUAACUGUGCACUAAUUCUUAGAAAUAAAUCAAGUGUUUGAGCCUGAUGUUUUUCAAGCAAGAGUAUACUAAUUAUUUUAUACUUGGCUCUUCUAAGUUGAUAAUAAAGGGACAUGUUUCAUGAAAAAAAAUGAGAGCUCCUUUGGUUUUCUCAAGGGUCUUUUAAUUCUUUUGUAUUCAAAUAAUUAUUUUUAAAUCCAUUACUUCAUCUUCAUUUCUCUUCAAUUGUCAAAUAGCCUAAGUUUACUAUAUUUUCAACUAUCAGUGACUUUUCAUUUUACUAACCACUUUUAUUGAUUUCAUAAACUCUAAACUCCUUUCACUAAGAUAUGAGAUUUCAUUUUUCAAUUGCUUUCUACUGUGUUUGCAUUUGAAUUUCCAGAUGCUUACAGUAUCUGACAUUCAACAUGUCUCUUCUAAACAGAUAUUUUUACAAUGGAUGCGGAGGGUUGCUUGUGUUGUGUUCAGGAAGAUGCAAGAAACGGAACUCAUAGAACUUCAAUUCAAUAGAGGAAUGUUUUCACGUAAUGACAACUUCUGCUAUCUCUGCAACGUGUAACGAUAGGAGCUUGAAUCAUUAAUACUGGAUUCCACAAACCCUCAAGGCUGUUUUUUCAGGUUGAAUCAUCUCUGCCUCUUACCACAGAGAACUGGCAUGAAAGCACAGAACAAACAUCUACAAUGUACUUCAAGGUCAGACAACCGGCAACUAGAAGACAACUGGAAAAGACGGACACAUCCUGAUGUGGGAACUCCUUCUAACUGCACUGUUGAACUGCUCCUGUAGUCUUGUGCACAAUAUGUAUGGCAGCUCACAAUCUUUCAGAUCAGAAGGACCCGUUCUCCUGUUCUAUGUCGAGCAUGGAAAAGAACACUUCGUGAUCCAUCUACAAUCGAAGAAAAUUCUUUCAGGCAGUGUGCUUUUUGUAAUGAAGGAUUAACACGAAUUAACAAUAAAUUUUUUAAGUUUGAAAAUGUCACAGAAAUAUUUAGGGAACACACACAUACAGGUAGAACCAGUAUCUUGUUUAUUUACCCUGACAAUUCACUAUCUUUGUGUGGUUUUAUACAGGUGUUGACUUUCAAAGCUAAAAAAAAAAAAAAAAAAAAGGAUGUAAUCCCAGCUACUCGGGAGGCUGAGGCUGAGGCUGAGGCAGGAGAAUUGCCUGAACCCAGGAGGCGGAGGUUGCAGUGAGCCAAGAUCGCACCAUUGCACUCCAGCCUGGGUAACAAGAGUGAAAUUCCGUCUCAAAAAAAAGGAAAUAUUCAAUAUUCUCUGUCUUCCCUUAAAAAAAUCCCACUGGAAUUGAACAUAGCUAUAACUUGGGUUAUACAUAUUUUAGGAUCACCUAAAAUAACCUACUAUCAAUUUAAUAUAGCAGAAGACAGUCUAGCUACAUACUUAAAACUAAUACAGAUGAAAAUCAUGAGUUUUUUUUAUGUUUAUCCAAAUAUUAUCCUGAUAUCUAUGGAGCCCCAUAUUAUUUGAAGCUAAGGUACUCCUCAUUAUAUUAUAUAUAACCCAGCAUGACAUUUUGGUGAACAUAAGAGUAACUAGCACUUCAAAGUUUUAUGUUGCCAUUCUUUUAUUUUUAACUGGAACCUGCACCUUAGAAAUGAG